Molecule: long non-coding RNA, 510 nt
Filed under: Elaeis guineensis (African oil palm)
Lineage: Eukaryota; Viridiplantae; Streptophyta; Magnoliopsida; Arecales; Arecaceae
Description: long non-coding RNA (EGUI_LNC044613)
Source: RNAcentral
AUCUAACCUAAAUUAAAUUCUUCGUAUCUAUCGUCUCUAGGUCUAGGACUCUCUUAGGAUUUUCAUCUUUAGAAUUUCUCUCUUUCUUCCUCUUCUCUUCUUCUUCUUCUCUCCCUCUUUCUUAAAAAAAAAAAAUCAGAGCAAUCCAAUUCUAUCAUAUGGCUGUACUCCUAAAAGAUACAAUAGAGGAAGCUAGCCCUAAAAGAAUUUCUCAGGACCAAUUGCAUACAUGUUGGGAUCCUUUUGGAGUGGAUGAGUUUGACUUAGAUAGGUAUGUUGAAAAUAUGCACACAUUAUUAGAGCCACCCAAUUUUAGUACCACUCCCCUAUGGACUGAGAAAUAUGAGCUUUUACCUGAAAUAUCUGCUCUAAUAGCUCCCUCUUUAGAAUCACCAUUGGUUCUAGAACUGAAGCCACCAUCGAUCAUACCUGAGUAUGUAUGCAUAGGACCAUAUGAUAUGCUCCCAGUAAUCAAUACAUCAGAUCCAACUCUUAAUCCAGAAACCCAAU